GUAGGUGGCAAGCGUUGUCCGGAUUUACUGGGCGUAAAGGAUGCGUAGGCGGAUAUUUAAGUGAGAUGUGAAAUUCCCGGGGCUUAACCUGGGAGCUGCAUUUCAAACUGGAUAUCUAGAGUGCGGGAGAGGAGAAUGGAAUUCCUAGUGUAGCGGUGAAAUGCGUAGAGAUUAGGAAGAACACCAGUGGCGAAGGCGAUUCUCUGGACCGUAACUGACGCUGAGGCAUAAAAGCGUGGGUAGCAAACAGGAUUAGAUACCCUGGUAGUCCACGCCGUAAACGAUGAGUACUAGGUGUAGGAGGGUCCAACCUUCUGUGCCGCAGUUAACACAAUAAGUACUCCGCCUGGGAAGUACGAUCGCAAGAUUA
This 370-nucleotide ribosomal RNA is filed under the name uncultured organism. Its description in RNAcentral is "partial 16S ribosomal RNA". It matches the Rfam family "Bacterial small subunit ribosomal RNA", at positions 527 to 896 of the family's 1533-position model. The record is from RNAcentral.